GUAGAGGAGGAGCUACCAAGAUCUGUAUAAGUCAAGCAAUCUUUAUGUUGCACACAAUCUAUUACCCUUUAAAAGAGGGAGUUCAUGAAAAACUUUACCCUCUCCAAAAUAGCCUUCCACCAAAUUUAAUUACCAACAUAUCCUGAAUUCAUAAACCACUCUCCCCUUUCAUCGGUUACGCCUAUAUUCCUCCUCCUUUCAAUUCAUCGAUUACGAGCCCUCCUCCGAUCUUCCGUUACCUACACCAAGUUUUAAAGAUGAAAUCAAUUCAGCAGUUCAUCCGUUACCCUUCUUCUCCGCCAAUCUUCUCUGUUCUUCCGUUACGCCGUCCCACGAUCUUAAGCCAUCAAUCUCCAAAGAUGAUUGUCAUUGCGCUAAUCAUCAACGCUGCGCCUCCGCCAUCAUCUCCUCAGUUGUCAGAAUUUUGGCAUCGGUCAAGGAUUGUCCGAAUUAGGGCUUGCUUCAAGUCUUCAUCUUGCUCCUUUGUCAAAUUCGUCAGACAAAUAUUGACGGGGAACAAGUGAAGGCUGCCAUAAGAGCCCAGCAAGACCAGCAGAUUGACAAUGAGUGGAAUGCUCCAAAACCAAGACAUCUCUCUCUCCUGAAGGGUGCUUUACAACGUGGGCUUGUGAGUGGAGCCGUUUCUCCAAUAUUAAUCUUUAUGCUUUGUGAUGAUCUACCUGACUGUAUUCAGAGCACAAAUGAAGCAGACUUCUUCGCUGAAUACGGCGAAGCGAGCCGAUACCAGAUUCAUGAGGUGGUCAGCAAGGGAAGUUAUGGGGUCGUCGACGCUGCCGUGGAUACCCACAAUGGAGAAGGUGGCUAUCAAGAAGAUAAACGAUGUCUUCGAGCAUGUUUCGGAUGCUACUCGCAUCCUGCGAGAGAUCAAGUUGCUUAGGCUGCUCCGCCACCCUGACAUUGUAGAAAUUAGGCACAUAAUGCUUCCUCCCUCGUGGAGAGAAUUUAAAGAUAUUUAUGUCGUUUUCGAGUUGAUGUAAUCUGACCUUAAUCAAGUUAUCAAGUCAAAUGACGAUCUCACGCCUGAACACCAUCAUUUUUUCA
Asparagus officinalis (garden asparagus) is the source of this 1062-nucleotide long non-coding RNA. RefSeq lists it as uncharacterized. Lineage: Eukaryota; Viridiplantae; Streptophyta; Magnoliopsida; Asparagales; Asparagaceae. The transcript has 5 exons. The record is from RefSeq and is a predicted model, not a curated record.